UACGUAGGGUGCAAGCGUUGUCCGGAAUUAUUGGGCGUAAAGAGCUCGUAGGCGGUUUGUCGCGUCGGCUGUGAAAACCCGGGGCUCAACCCCGGGCCUGCAGUCGAUACGGUCAAACUAGAGUGUGGUAGGGGAGACUGGAAUUCCUGGUGUAGCGGUGAAAUGCGCAGAUAUCAGGAGGAACACCGGUGGCGAAGGCGGGUCUCUGGGCCAUAACUGACGCUGAGGAGCGAAAGCAUGGGGAGCGAACAGG
RNAcentral lists this ribosomal RNA (253 nucleotides) under uncultured bacterium. Its description in RNAcentral is "partial 16S ribosomal RNA". It matches the Rfam family "Bacterial small subunit ribosomal RNA", at positions 524 to 776 of the family's 1533-position model. The record is from RNAcentral.